UAAAAUUAAUUAAACAUACUAAAUGAUUAAUCAAAUAUAUAAACAUGCCUAAUAUUUAACAUGCUACCAAAUAUAUUAAUAUGCUGUCAUGCUCAGUGUCAAAUAAUGUACUAACGUGCUUGAGGUCAAAUAAUGUAGUAAUAUACUUGAUGUCAAAUAUGCUAAUAUGUAUUAAUGUCUUAUUUUAACAUGUUAAUAUGUUGGAAUCAAUAUGGAUGUCUAAAAUAUUGAAAAAUGACUUUGGUGCUCAAGAUGCGUGGUAAACCAGAUUCAUUAAUUUCCAUGUUGCCAAAACUUAAGUCAAUAUGUAAAAAUUAAUUAAAAAUUCCUAAAGCAUGAUUUCUAGGCGGCCAAGCAAGUAAAUUAAUAAAUUUUAAAUCGCGUUAAGCCUAAGCAUUUCAUAUAGCAUAUAAGACACGUAAAAACCUAAAUUGUGCCAACUACUUCGUUCAUAGAGCACGUAAUACCCCGCCCCCAAAGCAGUCCCCCAAUUAUUAUUAUUACAUCAUGAAUAAUGCCCUUACAGAGAUUAUUACAAACUGAAUAAUACAGAUUAAGGGAAAAGCAACCAGCUAAUACAUAAUUUAACAACCCAGCGACUCUUCAGAACCUUGCGUGUACUUAAACCUGCGGAACAAUACAUAACAACAAACAAGAAAAAACAUCGACAUAUUUUGUAGGCAGGUUCGUAAAGGUUUCAAACAACAUGAUACAGUCAGCACCCACACAGUAAAAUUAAAAAAAUUACAUCGAUGGGAGACUCACCGGUAAGAGCAGUAGCAGGAUAAUAAAGCAAAGUGUGAACUAUGCAGGAUGUUUUAGUGAGUUUCGAAGGAAACCCCAAACUCUUGAAAAUAUGCAGUUGACUUGUAUUAAAGUAACAGGUAAAAAUUUCUUUUGUUUAUUGUAGAAAGUAGUAAUAGUAGUAGUCGUAAUUGUGGACUUGAAAAGUGUAAAACUCAAGAGCUGUGAACUUAUUUUUUAAUAAUAAUAAAAAAAAGAGUUGUUUAUAUAGAGAAGAGGCCGUGAAUUAAGGUCCAAUUAGCCACCACGAAAAAGGAAAAGCAAUAUUUUGAAAAUCAAUCCCAAUUGAUCAGGUAAAAGGAAAGAAAUAUUUUCAAAAUUAUCAGAAUCAAUUAAUGGGCCAAUCAAUCAGUCAAUCAUCCACAAAUCAGUCCAAAGAUAACAGAGCAUGUGUUUAGCAAAAUCAAUUAACAAUAAUUAAUUUUCUUAAGUUAAGCAAGUAGAAAUCAAUUAAAAUCAAGUUUACCAUAAAUAGGGAAGUAUCAAAUUUGUCAAAAUUAAUCAAGAGAUUAGCAAACAAACAAUCUAUAGUGAUUAGUAAUAAGCAUCUUGUUAGAAAAUUAAAACCAAGUCACAAAAUAAGUUGGGAUUUUCUUACACAUGUUAACUAAGAGGCAUAAAAAAAAUGUCAAGUUGCAAGAAAUUAGGCGUUUUCACAUAUAACAGACCCAGAGAUGAACAUGAACAAAUAAUAACAUGAAUUUAAUCACAAUCCAAAGUUACAUAUCACGAAAAUUUAAUUUAAAGAAAACAAACAAGCAAUUUGAGUUUAGGGAGAUCAAACCGAAUAAUAGUUGAAUCUGGGGGUGGCGUGUCGUUGGUAUUUCUCGACUGUUGGAGAUGGAGGCCGGAUCUGAGCGAGGGGAAGGCUGGUCAUCGCUGGGGUUGGUUCGUGGAGGGGGUUGGAGAGUGGAGCGGCGCUAGCAUGCUGGUGUUGGUGCUGAUGUUGUGAUGGGCAGCGGCGACGGAUCUGCUGGGGCGGGGCAGCGACUUGAUGACGGCUUGGAAUGACGGAGCUCCGAAGACUGAGUCCCUCAUGGAGCCGGAGAAAAAAGAUAAUGGAGGAGGCUGUUGACACGGGGGAAGAGAGGAGGAAGGGGAGUGGUGGAGCGGCGGCAAAGCAGCUCCACUGUCGUUGAUCUUAGAGAGCGAGAGAGAGGAAGAGUUGAGGGGGAGACUGUUUUUG
Molecule: long non-coding RNA, 1990 nt
Filed under: Capsicum annuum
Lineage: Eukaryota; Viridiplantae; Streptophyta; Magnoliopsida; Solanales; Solanaceae
Description: long non-coding RNA (CANN_LNC013228)
Source: RNAcentral